GUGGGGAAUAUUGGACAAUGGGCGCAAGCCUGAUCCAGCAAUUCCGCGUGAGCGAAGAAGGCCUUCGGGUUGUAAAGCUCUUUCGGCGGGGACGAUAAUGACGGUACCCGCAGAAGAAGCCCCGGCUAACUCCGUGCCAGCAGCCGCGGUAAUACGGAGGGGGCUAGCGUUGUUCGGAAUCACUGGGCGUAAAGCGCACGUAGGCGGCUACUCCAGUCAGAGGUGAAAGCCCGGGGCUCAACUCCGGAAUUGCCUUUGAAACUAGGUAGCUUGAACGUCGGAGAGGUAAGUGGAAUUCCGAGUGUAGAGGUGAAAUUCGUAGAUAUUCGGAAGAACACCAGUGGCGAAGGCGACUUACUGGACGACUGUUGACGCUGAGGUGCGAAAGCGUGGGGAGCAAACAGGAUUAGAAACCCCGGUAGUCC
This 425-nucleotide ribosomal RNA is filed under the name uncultured bacterium. RNAcentral's name for it is "partial 16S ribosomal RNA". It matches the Rfam family "Bacterial small subunit ribosomal RNA", at positions 354 to 796 of the family's 1533-position model. The record is from RNAcentral.